Molecule: long non-coding RNA, 382 nt
Organism: Myiozetetes cayanensis
Lineage: Eukaryota; Metazoa; Chordata; Aves; Passeriformes; Tyrannidae
Exons: 4
Source: RefSeq, a predicted model, not a curated record
CUUCUGUAACAUGUCUGCCCAGCCAAAUUGAACACAAAGCACAGCACAUGUUAACAUACAGGACAAGACGGGAAAUAACUGUAGGAAUUUUUAAGAAAAGGAAACUAAUGUGAAAGGAUAUAGAUGUUUAUCUGCAUGGAAAAAAAUUGCAGAAUGGUUACAGUUGGAAGGGACCACAGCUGGUCAUCUAGGCCAACCUUCCUGCUCAAGCAAUAAUCUUCAGAAUGGUAGAAAGGAGAACUUUUUAAGCUGAGAUUUACCACUUCAGAGUAGUAAAUACACUUUUGUUGCGCUGUCGCUGCACAGGAUCUUCAAGCCUCUUCACUGUUUCAAUCAUUUUGCCAUUGAUCUCCAGCUCUGCUUUCUUCACCAUUGCCCUCAG